Molecule: ribosomal RNA, 412 nt
Filed under: uncultured bacterium
Lineage: Bacteria
Description: bacterial SSU rRNA
Rfam family: Bacterial small subunit ribosomal RNA
Source: RNAcentral
UCUUUUUGUUAUUAAAGAAUUUCGAUAACCGAUGGGGAUGCGUUCCAUUAGUUUGUUGGCGGGGUAACGGCCCACCAAGACAUCGAUGGAUAGGGGUUCUGAGAGGAAGGUCCCCCACAUUGGAACUGAGACACGGUCCAAACUCCUACGGGAGGCAGCAGUGAGGAAUAUUGGUCAAUGGACGAGAGUCUGAACCAGCCAAGUAGCGUGAAGGAUGACUGCCCUAUGGGUUGUAAACUUCUUUUAUAUGGGAAUAAAGUGAGCCACGUGUGGCUUUUUGUAUGUACCAUACGAAUAAGGAUCGGCUAACUCCGUGCCAGCAGCCGCGGUAAUACGGAGGAUCCGAGCGUUAUCCGGAUUUAUUGGGUUUAAAGGGAGCGUAGGCGGACUAUUAAGUCAGCUGUGAAAGUUU